This 351-nucleotide unclassified non-coding RNA is filed under the name soil metagenome. Its description in RNAcentral is "partial contains 5.8S ribosomal RNA, internal transcribed spacer 2, and large subunit ribosomal RNA". The stretch from base 1 to 120 matches the Rfam family "5.8S ribosomal RNA", at positions 35 to 154 of the family's 154-position model. The record is from RNAcentral.
GAUGAAGAACGCAGCGAAAUGCGAUAAGUAAUGUGAAUUGCAGAAUUCAGUGAAUCAUCGAAUCUUUGAACGCACAUUGCGCCCGCCAGUAUUCUGGCGGGCAUGCCUGUUCGAGCGUCAUUACAACCCUCAGGCCCCCGGGCCUGGCGUUGGGGAUCGGCGGAAGCCCCCUGUGGGCACACGCCGUCCCUCAAAUACAGUGGCGGUCCCGCCGCAGCUUCCAUUGCGUAGUAGCUAACACCUCGCAACUGGAGAGCGGCGCGGCCAUGCCGUAAAACACCCAACUUCUGAAUGUUGACCUCGAAUCAGGUAGGAAUACCCGCUGAACUUAAGCAUAUCAAUAGCGGAGGA